GGAAGGAUCAUUUACAACAAAUGAACUUAAAUUUAAAAACAAAAACAUAACUGAAUUAGGUUGAUAAAAUCUAAAUUUUUAACGAUGGAUGUCUAGGUUCCCAUAACGAUGAAGAACGCAGCGAAAAUGCGAUAUGCAGUGUGAAUUGCAGAACCACGAAUCAUCGGAUAUUUGAAUGUAUGUAACGCUGGCAAAACCAGCAUGUUUGGUUCAGUGUGCGCAACCAACUAACCUAAACUAAAUGUAGGAGAAGUUCUCCUAUUAAGCACAUGCUCUCAGCAGCAGUCACUUUCGGGUGAGCUGAUGAUUGACAAACUGACUUAUUUGCACCUGAACUCAAGCAAGAUGACCCGCUGGACUUAAGCAUAUUAUUAAGCGGAGGAAAAGAAAUUAACAAAGAUUACCUUAGUAAGGGCGACUGAACCGGUAAAAGCUCGAAAUUGGAAUCAGAAAUUCAAAGAAUCUCUGAAUUGUAAUCAGGACAACUUAAAUACUGCAAGCGGAUUAAUAGGCUCGAAAGCCUGACCAAAGAGGGUGCUAGUCCCGUAAAUCUGUAGGCAGAACAAAGUUGGAUCCACAAGAGUCGGGUUGCUUGGAACUGCAGCCCUAAGCGGGAGAUAUGAUUCUUCCAAAGCUAAAUAUGGAUGGGAAACCGAUAGCGAACAAGUACUGUGAAGGAAAGAUGAAAAGGACUUUGAAAAGAGAGUGAAAAGAUCUGAAAUCGUUAAGAAGGAAGCGGUAAAACUGACUUACGUACUGAAAGGUCAAUGUGGUAAUACCAUAGAGAUCUUACCAGAACGUUGGACAAAAUCAAUUUUAAUGCGUCAAAAAAGGUGCAAGCCGGAAAGGGCGUAAUAAGAUUGAGGGACUACGGUGAUUUUGUCAAAAUGGUUUUUACCGUCCCGUCUUGAAACACGGACCAAGGAGUCUAUCCUAUAUGCGAGUGUGCGGGUGAAAAACCCAUACGCGAAAUGAAAGUGAAAGGUGCGCAGCGCAAGCAGCAGCAUCGACCGACCUAGUAAGAAAGGUUUGAGUAAGAGCAUAUCUGAUAGGACCCGAAAGAUGGUGAACUAUGCCUGAGUAGGGUGAAGUCAGGGGAAACCCUGAUGGAGGCUCGAAGCGGUGCUAACGUGCAAAUUGCUCGUCAAACUUGGGUAUAGGGGCGAAAGACUAAUCGAACCAUCUAGUAGCUGGUUCCCUC
This 1201-nucleotide unclassified non-coding RNA is filed under the name uncultured fungus. RNAcentral describes it as "sequence contains 18S rRNA gene, ITS1, 5.8S rRNA gene, ITS2, 28S rRNA gene". The stretch from base 327 to 1201 matches the Rfam family "Eukaryotic large subunit ribosomal RNA", at positions 1 to 961 of the family's 3401-position model. The record is from RNAcentral. Lineage: Eukaryota; Fungi.